Molecule: non-coding RNA, 25 nt
Filed under: Rattus norvegicus (Norway rat)
Lineage: Eukaryota; Metazoa; Chordata; Mammalia; Rodentia; Muridae
Source: RNAcentral
UGGUUUCCUCGUUACCAGUCAUGGU